AACUUUCAACAACGGAUCUCUUGUUUCUGGCAUCGAUGAAGAACGCAGCGAAAUGCGAUAAGUAAUGUGAAUUGCAGAAUUCAGUGAAUCAUCGAAUCUUUGAACGCACAUUGCGCCCGCCAGUAUUCUGGCGGGCAUGCCUGUCCGAGCGUCAUUUCAACCCUCGAGCCCCUCCGGGGGGUCGGCGUUGGGGGUCGGCCCUCCCUCGCGGGGGCCGGCCCCGAAAUCCAGUGGCGGUCUCGCCGCAGCCUCUCCUGCGCUGUAGUUUGCACAACUCGCACCGGGAGCGCGGCGGGCCCAUGCCGUGAAACCACCCAACCUUCUGAAAUGUUGACCUCGGAUCAGGUAGGAAUACCCGCUGAACUUAAGCAUAUCAAUAAGCGGAGGCU
Molecule: unclassified non-coding RNA, 389 nt
Filed under: uncultured Trichoderma
Lineage: Eukaryota; Fungi; Ascomycota; Sordariomycetes; Hypocreales; Hypocreaceae
Description: sequence contains ITS2
Rfam family: 5.8S ribosomal RNA (bases 1-154)
Source: RNAcentral